CCUCCACUUUCAUUUUCACCCGAGCCUCUAGCCCAAGAGCAAGAGACCACCGGCAGCGAUUUCACCAAACUCUGACGGCAUGGAGCCAACUGGCGAUAAGAAUAAGUCGAAUCCUUUCUUCUCAUUCUCCUUCCAACCCUGUUAUUCCUCUUUGUUAAUAUCUUCUUCCUUUCUCUUCUUCUAGCAAUAGACCACCGGCGGCGAUUUCACUGUUUCACCAAACUCCAACGGCAUGUAGUCAAUCGGCAAAGACCACCGGUAGUGAUUUCAUUGUUUCGCCAAGCUUCGACAGUGAUUGCCUUCCAACUCUGAUGGCAUGUCACCUAGCGGGAGGUUGGUGCCGUCAAGCUCAAACAAACAAUUGUGCCUCUGAGUUUUUGCAGCUGUGUUGGCUACGAUGAACCCAAACGAUAUUGAUUAGAAAACGGAAAGAACCUGAUUUCCAUUGAAGGGGUACAAGUGUUUGUUGUUUAUAUGUUCCAAGCGAAGAAGUUGAUGCCCUUGAAGUCAUGGAAACAUAUGGAGAUAUCAUUGGAGCCUUUUAAUUUCGUGUUUCUUACAGAUUCUCUAAUGAAGUUGUUAUCGAGCAAAAUCCAAUUUGCUCCUAUUGUAUUAGUUGACAUGCUUAAUACCAGCGGUGCCAUUCAAUCAUUGGAGUAGGAUGAUGAGACAAGUUCGGUUCGAAUUGGAGUGAGGGGAACCAGAGAGAUGAGGUUGUUUGCAUAAAAACAAAACCAAAAGUUUGUUUAAUUGAUGGUGAAGAGGUUCCAUUUACGUUCGAUGAACACAUGGUUGUGGUUCAAGUUCCAUGGCCUACUUCUGUGUAAUCUAUAUUUGAUUACCAGUUUUAGAAUCUGGGAUGGGGAUCAGAUCCACAAAAAUGGAUGUUUUUUGGAAAGUCACAAAAAAUGGAUUGAUGUUUGAUUUUUAUUGAACUAAAUUUAUGUAAUGUAAAUAGUAGUAAAGUGUGAUAUCGAGAAAACUUGGUAACUAAUGUAAAUGAAGAACUACUAUAAUAAGCAUGGAAACCUUUCUUGA
This is a long non-coding RNA of Nelumbo nucifera (sacred lotus), 1038 nucleotides long. RefSeq lists it as uncharacterized. NCBI's taxonomy places the organism in Eukaryota, Viridiplantae, Streptophyta, Magnoliopsida, Proteales, Nelumbonaceae. The record is from RefSeq and is a predicted model, not a curated record.